This is a long non-coding RNA of Ziziphus jujuba (common jujube), 1672 nucleotides long. RefSeq lists it as uncharacterized. The record is from RefSeq and is a predicted model, not a curated record. The transcript has 4 exons. Lineage: Eukaryota; Viridiplantae; Streptophyta; Magnoliopsida; Rosales; Rhamnaceae.
GUUUUCCACAUGGUUGUUGGAUAUGCUUCACCAUUAACUUUAUAUAUUUUAUAUAUAAAAUUUAUGAAAAGUUAAUAAAUGAAGCUUUCGUUUUGCAUUCAAUAAUUAUAACCAUGGCUACUAUUUCCUCUUCACAAUUAUCUUCUCAAGAAAGCAUGAGUUUGUAGAUAGCUAGCAAAGUGAUUGCAGGUUUCUCAGUUUCCCAGGUGAGGACACCGGUAAUCAAUUUCCUAGCUAUCUCUAUGCAGCUUUAUCGGCUAACCAAAUCUCAACUUUCAUGGAUGAUCAUCAACCUAGAGAUAGGUGAUGAAAUUUCACCCGCAGUUGGCAAAGCAAUUGGUGAAUCCAUAAUCUUGGUAAUAAUUUUCUCAGGAAAAGAAUGCUUGAUCUGCAUGGUGUUUGGUGAACUAGUGCAAAUUCUUGAUUGCAAAUAAAAGAAAUGAGCAGAGGGUAACAAUCUGUCAUUUUUUUACUGUAUCAGUUCAUCCAAACACCAUGUGGAUGAAGCAUAAUUUUGGGAGAAAAAUGAUUACCGAAAUCUUGGGUUCUUCAAUUCCUUGCUUUAGUUUUGUCUGCAAGAGGUUGCACGUCACUGGAGAACAUAUCAAAUUGGAGGGCUCCACUGUUACACGAUCUGGAAAUCACUGGAAAUGUUUCAGGGUUUGGAGAAUAUGCGUGUGAGCUAUGCAGACAUCACUGCAUGUAGCUUCAAAUGAAUGGUUCUCAUCAAAUAUCUUUCUCCAUGAAGCGGUACUACCAUUGAGUCAAACAUGCACAGCAUUGUUUUAUCAAGCUAAACACUCGGGAGCCUUAGAUUUUUCUUUAGAAAAUCUGGUGUGGUACUCUUUACUUAAGAUGAUUUUGAAAUUGCUCGAUAUGGAUUGUAUUAUUUUUCUCUUUGACGGAAUAGAUUGUGAUAUUUAGUUAGCAAGUUUUAUAGGUUUAUUGUCAAGUUAUGGUCAUGUGUCAAAUUAUAAGUGUAAGGAUUUGCUUCUUAUAGAACUAGCAGUGAUGCAUGGUAUGCACUGAAUAAGUUAACGAUGUAUCUGUUCCGGAGAAAUUUUUCCAAAGAAUUAUAAGUCCUGUUAUAAGAAGCGGGGAUAACAUUGCUCUAAAAUGUCCAGAGAGAGACACCAGAAGCAGAGACACAAAAUAUUUUGCUGCCUCCAGAAUACAACAGAACAAAAGCAAAAAUUAAACUCUGAUUGAAGAAAUUAGGAGCGAGCGCUAGAUAGGAUGGAGACUCAUGACUCAGCACUGUUUUGUUCAACACAAUUUUCUCUGUUGCUGCUUCCAAAGCUAUGUUUGGACUUAUUGGACCGGAGCUUCUCCGUAGAUCUUAUUUUGUUCAUGUUUCUUUAGAUAGAGGUUUUGAUGGUUUAUCUUCUGACUGGGGAUGUAGGCUGCAGAUCUGUUCAUAUUUAUAGUAACCGCUACCACCAACUUAGCGGCUGAUCUUUCAGCCAUGCUUACCUCUUUGCCAAAAUUGGAGUGCUUUAAUUAGUUGUAUUUUUUUUUUUUUAAUUAUUGUAUUAUAAUUGUUGUAUUACCUGGGUGCUUUCGCUUAUGUACAUUCCUGAAUUGAGAGAAAGUGAAAAAGUAGGGCCAUUCAGAACUUCGAUCUUGUAAUAAAUUUCAUUUUAUUUUUUCUUUAAAGGAAAGUGUUAAAUAA